This 459-nucleotide ribosomal RNA is filed under the name uncultured bacterium. RNAcentral describes it as "partial 16S ribosomal RNA". It matches the Rfam family "Bacterial small subunit ribosomal RNA", at positions 338 to 795 of the family's 1533-position model. The record is from RNAcentral.
CCUACGGGUGGCAGCAGUGAGGAAUACUGGCCAAUGGCCGAGAGGCUGACCCCUCCCCUUCUCUUUCUUUCCUCCUUCCCUCCUUUUUUUCCCCCUCUUUUUUCUUGGAGUAAAGCGAGUCACGUGUGACUCUUUGAGAGUACCCGAAGAAAAAGCAUCGGCUAACUCCGUGCCAGCAGCCGCGGUAAUACGGAGGAUGCGAGCGUUAUCCGGAUUUAUUGGGUUUAAAGGGUGCGCAGGCGGAGGUGCAAGUCAGCGGUCAAAUUGCGGGGCUCAACCCCGUACUGCCGUUGAAACUGCAUCCCUUGAGUGCGCGAGAAGUAUGCGGAAUGCGUGGUGUAGCGGUGAAAUGCAUAGAUAUCACGCAGAACUCCGAUUGCGAAGGCAGCAUACCGGCGCGCAACUGACGCUCAUGCACGAAAGCGUGGGUAUCGAACAGGAUUAGAUACCCGAGUAGUC